Molecule: ribosomal RNA, 484 nt
Filed under: uncultured bacterium
Lineage: Bacteria
Description: partial 16S ribosomal RNA
Rfam family: Bacterial small subunit ribosomal RNA
Source: RNAcentral
AUUGAACGCUGGCGGCAGGCCUAACACAUGCAAGUCGAGCGGAUGAAGGGAGCUUGCUCCUGGAUUCAGCGGCGGACGGGUGAGUAAUGCCUAGGAAUCUGCCUGGUAGUGGGGGAUAACGUCCGGAAACGGGCGCUAAUACCGCAUACGUCCUGAGGGAGAAAGUGGGGGAUCUUCGGACCUCACGCUAUCAGAUGAACCUAGGUCGGAUUAGCUAGUUGGUGGGGUAAAGGCCUACCAAGGCGACGAUCCGUAACUGGUCUGAGAGGAUGAUCAGUCACACUGGAACUGAGACACGGUCCAGACUCCUACGGGAGGCAGCAGUGGGGAAUAUUGGGCAAUGGGCGAAAGCCUGAUCCAGCCAUGCCGCGUGUGUGAAGAAGGUCUUCGGAUUGUAAAGCACUUUAAGUUGGGAGGAAGGGCAGUAAGUUAAUACCUUGCUGUUUUGACGUUACCAACAGAAUAAGCACCGGCUAACUUCGUG